GACGAACGCUGGCGGCGUGCCUAAUACAUGCAAGUAGGACGCAGUUGCGAACGGGUGAGUAACGCGUAGGUAACUGCCUAUUAGAGGGGGAUAACUAUUGGAAACGAUAGCUAAUACCGCAUACUAGUAGAUGGACCUGCGUUGUAUUAGCUAGUAGGUAGGGUAAUGGCCUGUCUAGGCGUCGAUACAUAGCCGACUUGAGAGGGUGAUCGGCCAAAAGGGGACUGGGGCAAGGCCCAGAAUCCUACGGGAGGCAGCAAGAGGGAAACUUUGGCAAUGGGGGGAACCCUGACCGAUCAACGCCGCGGGAGUGAAGAAGGUUUUCGGAUCGUAAAGCUCUGUUGUUAAGGAAGCGGUACUUAACCAGAAAGGGACGGCUAACUCCGUGCCAGCAGCCGCGGUAAUAC
RNAcentral lists this ribosomal RNA (407 nucleotides) under uncultured bacterium. RNAcentral describes it as "partial 16S ribosomal RNA". It matches the Rfam family "Bacterial small subunit ribosomal RNA", at positions 28 to 526 of the family's 1533-position model. The record is from RNAcentral.